GCCGGGCAUGGUGGCGCGUGCCUGUAAUCCCGGCUACUUGUGAGGCUGAGGCGAGAGGACUGCUUAACCUCGGGAGGCGGAGGUUACAGUAAGGUGAGAUGGCGCCACUGCACUCCAGCCUGGGCAACAGAGUCAGACUCUGUCUCAAUUUUUUUUUUUUUUUUGAGAUGGAGUUUUGCUCUGUUGCCGAGGCUGGAGUGCAGUGGUGCGAUCGCGGCUCACUGCAAGCUCCGCUUCCUGGGUUCACGGCAUUCUCCUGCCUCAG
This 265-nucleotide non-coding RNA is filed under the name Homo sapiens (human). The record is from Rfam by way of RNAcentral. Lineage: Eukaryota; Metazoa; Chordata; Mammalia; Primates; Hominidae.